ACUACAAAAGGCAAGGGGUUGAAUGAGUUAACGAAUGUGGAAUUUAUAAAGCAUUUUCUCCUUGGGGGCAGAGAAAUGGAACGGUUGAUGACUCAGCCUUCAUAGUCUAUUCCAUAUAAGAUCAGGAAUAGUAAUUGGAAUAAACUGGAGUUGUGUCUGAGUGAUGGGGGAACCUGGUGUGUCAGGAGAAGCCCUGAUUCAGACUGACUGACUACUGAAAGAGGAAGGAAAGGGUUAGCGAGAGGGCUACCUUACCAGCCCCACGGGGAGGGACCUGUCUAACCACAGGGGUAGAUUCUAACGCGGAGAGACCGGUCCCAGCCAAGUGCCCCACAGGGUUUCCCUUGAAAGCUGGAGAAAUAGGAAAGCGCUGGGUCUGCUGAGCAAGUGGGAGGCAACAGUAUGUCCUUCAGAGACUGCCUGCGACACCCUCAGUCACAGACAUCUGGUAGCUCAGGCUGAAGGACUUCCUGAAUGAAGUGCGAGUUCAACUGCUGAGAGAAGGAAGAGGGAGGCUGAGGGUGGGCCGCAAGGGCUGCUAAUCUGGAAGGUAUAAUUUCCUCAAUUUCUACUCCUUAGAAAAUGCCUGUCACAUGGCGGGUCGAUGACAACCCAGUGAGAUAAUCCUUGUGAAAGAACUUUAAACACCCCACACGAACAAGCAGCAGAUACAAUGAGAUCCAACAAUGAAACGGGUCCUUUCUUGUCACCGAAAGAAUUCACAGAGAAUCUGGGUGAGCCUGUGCCAGGGGUGGGUGGGAGAACCCAGCUCCGGCCGAGGGCUGGACCAGCUGGCCGCUGCAGCCUUCCCCGCCUUGGGCCAUUGUCCGUCAGCGGGACUCUGAUGAAAGCUUCACUGUGUCCGUGUCGUCCGCUGCGCUCAGAGGGGGGAAGAAAGCAUGAGCUCAGCUUGGCCAGAGGACAGGGUUCGGUUUGCUCUCAUCGUUCACAGAGGCCUCUCCCCACGAUUUAAGCCACCGGGCAGGACCAGCUACAUCGUUUGUAGGACCCGGGGCGAAACGAAAAUGCAGAGCCCCUGGUCCGAAGAAUUGCAAGACGGCGACGGCAGAACAUUAACACAGGUGCGGGUGACACGUUUAUGAAGUCUGCCCUGCCACCAGGACCCCAAGGAGGAUGUGAGGAACGGGAAGGAGCCAGGCCGCCGGGGGCCUCCAUGCCCCUGGUCUGUUCCUCCUCCCACGGCCCUGCACAGGGCCCUCUUAGGGAAGAGGAGGUAAGAGUAGCAAACACACCUACCAGCUCUCGUGGGCUGGGAAAUACUCCGAGCAUGUCACCACCUUCAAAACAACCCCACGAGGUCGGUGAUACUGUCGCUGUUUUACAGAUGUACGAAAUGACAGCUGGAGUUUAGGUGACUUGCCCCAAAUCACCCCAGGAAUGAUGGCCGAGCCAGGAUUCAGAUGCAGGGUGUCAGGCCUCAGUCUGGCCUCUCAACCGCUGUGAUUUACACUUUUUCCAGGGGGCCUCUGUACAGUCGCUCAGAGAGGGGAGGCUGGCAGGGGAAACCCAUGCAGGAAGGUCAAUGGAUCACCAGGCCGCAGCCUCUUCUCCUUUACUGCCCUUAGUAAAAGCACAGCGAACCCAUCUGGGAGGGCCAAGCUUGCUGGGCGCUACCACAGCCCAGGUACACAGAGAUGGUCAUGCAUCUCGUCCAGCUAGAGGGGUCUUAGUUGGGGGUCCCUCUUUUUUUUUGCUUGUUUGUUUCUGAGAAAGAGCAAGAGCAGGCACAAGCGUGGGUGGGGUGGGGCAGAGGGAGAGGGAGUGAGAGAAUCCCAAGCAGACUCCACACCCUGCAGCCGAGCUCGAUCCCACAACUCUGAGAUCAUGACCUGAGCCGAAAUCAAGAGUCAGAUGCUUAACCGACAGAGCCACCCAGGCGCCCCAGUGUGGGUUCCCUCUAAAGCAAAGCCUGAGAUAAGGCUUUGGGUGCAGAUAGUUUAUUUGGGGCAUGAUUCCUAGAAUGAGUCCGGGAUCAGAAAGUGUGUAAAGAGAACGGGACAAGGAAGAGUGAAUACUGGGGACAUUGACACUGCCAUUGUGGGCAGCAGGAGCUCAGUUCUGCAGGAAGCUGGGCAUUCACCCAUCACCUCCCGUCCUCUAUUGAUUAGGGGCUGCUCCUGUGGCCAUUAACUUCUCCAAACUCCUGGGCUGUCCCUGCCGUAGGUGAGAGAAGCUUUCCUGGCACUGGAGAAACCCUGGGGCCAAAACCAAAAAGACUCAGGGAGCAGGCUUCAGGUAGGAUGUGCCCAAGGUGAGUGUAAGUCCCCAGAGAACCAGAGCCAGCUACCAUCAGGGCAGCUGAAGGCAGAGGGCCCAGGGAAUAUAGGGAGGGACACCCAACGUGUCUGUACAGAGGCCUCCAGAUUUCGCUAGGGACCAGCUCUCGACAGAAUCUGGGAGCAGGAGUGGCAAGAUCUGCGGACAAAACGUCACUUGUACUGUUCCCCUGUGGGUCUCUGUGCUCCUCUCCGAUGCCCACGGUUGUUCAGUCUUGGGGCUACCGUCUUCCCCAGCCCCAGAGCCCCGGAGAUGGCACGGCGGGCAAGGGCCAACCAGCUGUUACUUACGGAGAGUGCUUCCUGAAUGGGCUGGGCAGGGGGCGAGGGGGGGAGGGCACAGGCUCUGUUCCCCUUAGGGCAGCAUGUUGACAUGCCCCACGCCCGGAUGGCAGCGCCGAGACUGGCUGUGGCCGUGAUGAAGCACUUCAGGGGAGAGGCUGACCCCCAGAGGCUUUCUAGAGAAGGAGCCGUGAAGCCCAGGAAAGGACUCUGAGUAAAGCUUCCCUGCUGGCUGGAGAACCCUGGGGACCCCACCACCCCGUUCCUCAGUCCCCUCCUGCACACACGCUCCCUGGAGUCCUGCCCGAGGCUGCCUUGGGCUCAGCCAGAGUUGCUGGCUCAGCACGCCUGCUCUGAGCCUCUGGCCAACCCCUUCCUUCCCUCCCCAACGCCCUCUUCCCUUGGCCACAUUUCCCUGAAACCGCUUUCUAGGCCCUAGUUACUUUCUGCCUUGUUCUGAGAAAUUAGUUGACAGACAAGUUGACCAGCCAGAACCCCUGAACCUUCGAGCAGAGGGGCGGGUUACUGAUUGUUGUUCAUCUGUGAGCGGGGAGAAUCCGGGCCUGGGAAACAGGAAUCUCAGGCUUAGGUCACAGCUCAGCUUUUCUAGCCAGCGAGUCAUAUUUCCUCAGUUUCCCCAUGUGCAGCAGUCAUCUGCCUUGCCAUCUCCACGUCACAGGGCUGCUGAGACAUCAGAUGAAACGUCUAUGAGCGAAAUUUUCAAACCAAUGGAGUUCUAUGUGGAUGUGACAUAUAAUAACCAUUGUUUGCCGCCCUGUGCCUGGCUUCCAGUUAAACCCGAUUCCUACGCUCUCUUCCUGGCACACACAGGGGCUUUGUUGUUUGGAACUCAUGAGCCUGGCAAACUCCUGCUUGUCUGGAAUCUAAACCGGCCAGUCGUGAGUUGUCUCGGAGUUGUGGAGCAACGGAAAAGGCCCUCAGUCAGGGCCCGAGCCAGGAAUCCCUGCUCCAGGCCCAACUGCUAGGGGCCCCAUGGCCUCGGGCAGGCUCCUUGAUUUCCUGGAGCCCCGUGUGAUUCAUCCCACACAGGUGGUUAUGACGCCGGCCCGGCCUGUCUGCCUCCUGGGCUCCCACGGGGGUCAAGAUAGAUUACGUGGGUCUGUGCAAGGGUGGGCGAAAUGCUCCAAUGCCAUGUGAAUGCUGGGGAUUGUUAUUGAAAAUAAAAGGCUUUCUGACCUGAUUCCACAGCACACAUCCAGCCACCAGGGCUAGUGUGAACUCGGAGGCGCAGUCAAGAUCCUGAAAUGUUUUCCAGAUCAUCUGAGAAAGUCGGUGCAGGAAGAGAAAGACUCAGGUUCUAACUAGCUGGAGACGCAGGUCAUUGACACCAUUACGGUGAUGGGCUUGGUGCAUAAAGGUUCAGGGUACGGGGAGUCUGGAGGGAAGAGAGUGGACUUUGAGUCCUGGGAAAGGAAGACAAAAAUGGCAAGAUGUCUUUGGAGGGACAGCAGGAAUCAGAAAGGAAGAGCAAGGCAGGGUCCAUUAUGCAGAGCCUAGAAUGAGGCAGGGAGGACAGGGUGGGGGCUGCAGGACAGGCCUCCCACCUGCCAUGCUGGCUAUACCCCAAUUUCUCUUGUGUGCCAGAGGGGCCCUCCUCCUGACCCCAUGGUCGAACCAUGACUGAUUUAGAAUCUUAGUCCAUACCACCGGUCAGCUUAUUUGUGUGACCCAGUCCUGGCCAAUAGAAUCUGAGGGAGAGUCCCACUGGGGGCUUCUGGGAAACUCUCCCUCCUUGAUAAAAACAGAGAGGGAGACAAGGGAGUCUCUUCCCUCCUCCUUAUCAACAAGGCCCCUCCAGAGCCUGUCCUGUCCCACCUGACAGUAGCUGAACUAGAUGGUAGCUGGGUCACCUUUCUAACCAGCAACUCUCCUCCCCCCCUCCUCACCCCCUGCCUUACCCACACCUUCCUGCUUCGACUGUUGGCAUGAGAAACUGAGCCCAGGAGCAGCUGUGGCAUCUAGUAAGAAGAAAGCCAAGAGCCUCGUACAGAAGCUAAGCCAGAGCCUGGACAUUGUCAAGCUGCUGAGUCUUGGGAUCCCCUCCAGGCUUCUUGACAUGUGAGACAAGGCAUGUUUUCACGGUUGAAGCCACUUGUAAUCUAGUGUUCCACUGAGAAGAGCACCAGGGGUAACAUAACACUGGGAAUGCAUGCCACGGAAGGGAGCCUACGGUUUGCACAGCACUUUAUAGGCACUUGUCUUACUCGGUCCUCAUAAAGACAAGAGGAUGAGUGAUCUCGCCCUCUUUUCUAAUGGGUGAGCAAACUGACCAGGGGGCAUAAAUGACCCCCGAGGUCACAGAGCUGACUGGUGGUAGGCCUGAUGGCAUAAGUCAGAGUUUCUGACUCUUGGUGCUGCACACUGUCCACUCCACAGGAGAGAGACCAAAAUUGAAGCUAACCAGAGGGACAGACAGAUGCUCCAGACAGCUAAAAUGAGAGGCCAGACAGCAGCGUCCUCUCACCUCCCCGGAGAGUCUCAGGGGAGAAUGAAAGAGAAUCUGAUCAUCAAGAAGCAGUGAGCCAUUAGGUUGGGUGGCUGAGCCCAGGCUGGAACCAGACAGUACAGGGCUGGGGAGAUGGACAGAUGAAGGGGGUGGCGUGUUCCUCCACCACCCCCAGGAAGCUCCUAGAUGGAAGGAAGGAAAGAUGAGAAAGUGUAAAGCAAGGACUGGCAGUCUUUCCAAACCAUGAGGCCAGCUGACUUCCUGAGUGGGCAGGCAUGUGCGGACCCAGCAGUGAACACACAAGGCCGUGAGGAUGCGGCCGGAGAGAGGAGUGCCAGGAGCAGCACAGGCUCUGUCUGAGAAGCUUUUCCAGAGAAGCUGAGUUCUGGACCAAUGAGGCAAAGAGCUUCAGGGAGGGCUGGGAAGGGCUGCUCUGCAUGCUUCCCUGACCCUGGUGUUGGCUGGCCAUGGGUCCUUAGCUGGGGUGUGCACGGAGGAGUCCUUCCUUGUCAUUCCACCCUCAGGAAAGACCUCCCAGGGGUAAACUCAGACUCUGCACGUGGUCAGAUGUGAAAUGUGUUGCAAGAGGUGAUACUAAUCAUAAAGUCCCAAAGUAGGGAAAUCAUUUACUUAAAAAAAAUUAAAAUAGGUGGGGUCAGAGUCAGCCGGCACAGUUACAGUGCUGCGGGAUGGGUGCUGUGAGAGCCGCGAGCACCAUGGGAGCAGAGAGAACCAGGUUUAACCCAGCCUGGGCUGCGCCAUGGACACCUCCCUCCUUGGUCAUCAGCAGGACCCACCACCGCAGUUCCGGCAAGGACAGAGCCAGGCCUGAGCGAAGGCAGUGUCACAGAAAGGAAAAGACUGGCUAAUGGGGAGAGGCUCCAGGAAGGACCUGGCUGAGGGAGAUGACCCCAAGUUGCCCUCAGAUGUCUUGCUCAUAGAACUAGUGGAAUGGCGAUGCCAUUAACUGAAAUAGGGAAGAAAGGAAAAGAUCAGGUCUAUGGGCAAAAGCGUUUUUCUUCUCAAAUAUAAGAAUCUGAUUGUGUAAAUAUCUGACAUAACAUUUUCCAAAGAUUCUCCAUAACUUUUAAGAUAAUAUUCAAACUCUGUUGUUUACUACAUAUGGCCCUCCAAGUUCUUUCUUCUUCUCUAGGCUUAUUUCUUGUCACUCCCCUAAGUUGGUCCUUAGAUACAGCUAUAUAAAACUCCUAGUUAUUCCGAGACACAUUCCAUGGCUGUUGUAUGGCUUUGUACGCGGGAUUCUCUCCGGCUAGAAAGUACUCUGUUAUGAACAUCUGUCGUUUGUGUUCUCAGUACCCUCUCCUUUGAAUUACCUCUCCUGUCUCAUUCCAUGUGGUCCUGAAGGAGCUGCCAAUCAUCCUGCCCAGGGGCCCCAGGGGUGGGGAGGAAAGCCAGGCCUGGUCAAGCAGAGUAUCCCAUCCCUCCGUGAUUGGCCCAGGAUGGGCACAUGACCCAAGCUGGGCCAAUCAGAGCCCUCCUCUGGGAUUUUAUAUAUAUAGGUGCUAGGAGGGUUCUUUUUUCUUCUGGGGAAACCAACUAAGGUGAUAGAAGCCUAGGAUUUCCUGUGGCCAUGGCCCUCCUGUCCCCUGAAACAUGAAGGAAGAUUGAUAGGAGAGAAUGAGUUCAACACAAAGGAAGAAACAACAGAGAUGAUGUGAGGAGAGCAGCAAGUCUGAAUGCUUUAUGAGUUUGGAGACCAGCUUCACCCAGUUGUCCCUGGUUUGCUUAAAAUUGUCCUGUCACUUUUAAAACUGAAAGACUCAGGGGCGUCUGGUUGGCUCAGUGGGUUAAGCAUCUGACUCUUGAUUUU
This is a long non-coding RNA of Ailuropoda melanoleuca (giant panda), 6877 nucleotides long. RefSeq lists it as uncharacterized. The transcript has 3 exons. The record is from RefSeq and is a predicted model, not a curated record. NCBI's taxonomy places the organism in Eukaryota, Metazoa, Chordata, Mammalia, Carnivora, Ursidae.